GAGAGAGAGAGAGAGAGAGAGAGAGAGAGAGAGAGAGAGAGAGAUUGGACAGAGGGUAUACUGUCCAUGGCCUGUCCACUGUGUUCCACUGCUGUGGUUGAGAUGGACCUCUGGCAGUCACUUGUAUCCCCUCCCUAUUUCAGCAUCUCACCAAUAUGCAGUUGGAAACCAGACUCAAUUCCUCCACAAAGGACCACGGCUCGAACCUUAGAGUGGGGGCCUCUUUUUUUUCUGUCUGGGGUUGAGAGAGGAGGUGUUUUGUACGGGGAAACCCUCCUAAUCCCUGUGAACUCACACCAAACCCGGCUGUGACGGCUGAAGAGAACCGUGCAUCUCUGUAGGCCGCUCUACAUUGCUCUGUUCUUUCAAUAGUCUGUCUUCCCUUCGUGUAAGGAGUUGGGACAGGCCUGGGAAAACAUUUCUGACUGUUUUCUCUGUCAUGAUGGCAUAUUAUAUUACACAGUCUUUUUAAUCAAAGCUAGCUUUAACACUGCUUUCUUGAGGUUUGUGAAACCCUUUCUUUAUUUUUAAGAAUGCUAUUUGUUGUUGCCUCUCGUAGAAUUCAUGAAGUGUAGAAAAGCUAGGUGUAAUCAUUUCACAAUACCUAGACCAAUGGACAGGCUAACAACUGAGGAACAGUCUCAAUGGUAGUAGUUCUAGUGCUGCAUUUACUGUAGAUGACAGCUUUACGUGUUGUCUCCUAACUCUCAUUAAUAAAUGUGCCAAUUACUAAUGCAUAAACUAUUUAGUCCAGACUUCAUGUACAGUAUAUUGUGCGUAAAGUACCUUCUAAGAUUAUACAACCAUUAUUAUUAUCAUUAGAAAUGAACUUUCUCAGUAUUAUACUGACUCUAUGGUAACAGGAUAAAUGGAAAGGAGGCGUGAACCCACAUUGUCAGGCAGACCAAUAACCUGCUCUGGUACCGAUUGCCUUCCAACCAGAGCAUUGAGAGACUCAGGAAUGCAGCUGUGGCACAUGGCCCUACUAGUGCUGUAUAAAACCUUAGAGUGGACAGACACUUCUUGGCAUGGGUAUUUACUGAGCAUAUGUUGCUCAUCUGCUGGGUAGAUGGGUCCCACUCAGCUCAGUAGAGUACUCCUUCAUAUGUUUAGUACAGUGAGUAAGGACAUGUAGUAAGAUAGCAGUGAAGAUGUGUAACAGCUCUCUUGUUGAGCGAUGUGUAACAGCUCUCUGUAUGCUGGCUCAGCUCACAGCUUGCCUGACCUAUCGGAGACUUUACCGAUGGACCCACAGUAGAGCUGGUAACGUCUCAUGCCAAUGAUGCAGCUGCAUUCUUGACUCUUCAAAUGGAAAUACAAUAAUCAUUUAUUUUUCUUUCAUAAUUUACUAUAUUUUUGUUUUCUUCGCAAAACCUGAGUAGUUGAGUGACUAAAAUAAGCUCUUAAGUAUGUAGUGAAUUAUUUGUUUGUUUGUCAACUUUGUUUUUAUCAUUCUGUACGUGCAAUAUCUUCGUACUGAUUUUGUACAUUCAGAACAAGCAAAGGGUCCCUUCUGUUUGUUUUGUAUGUUUUCAUGUUGUCGUUAUUUAUUUAUUUAGUUCGGACCCCUGUCGUUCUCUCUCAGUGGCUUAAUGUGUGGUUGUUCUCAUGGUUCUCUGAGAAGCACAGUCCUGGAAUUCAGUGGAAUGUCUAAUAAGUGAUGUUGCAUGUAAUGUUAUUGAUGUGAGGCUAUCCUCUCCACAUUCUAUAACAAAUCAGUGUUACCGUAGCGAUUAAAGUGCUAUCACGUUAAAAAAAAAAAAAAUGUAGGCCUUCUACGGGUUCAAGUCUGUUAUCAUGUUGUCCAGGAAGAGAUUCAGGUGAAAAAUAUAUAUUUUUCAUUUCAGAUUAUGUACUUACUUACACAAUUCACGGUGGAAGGAAAGAGGAAUGUGUGUAUAUAUUUUAAAAAGGAAUUUGCUUCCCUCUGGGCAGAAAAUAACUAUUUUGCUGGAUAAGCACAUAUGAAGGAGCGCUUUCAUUUUUUUCAGGAAAUCUGAAAAAAUGUAGAUCUAAUUUACAGCAAAGAAAUGCAAAUGGAACAAAGGAACUGGGAUAUAUGUAAAAUAACUUUCUACAUUCUACAAAAUAAGAGUCUAUUAUCAUGUGUACAUUAGAGUCAACUGUUUCUCCCAAUAUUCAGGGUGUAAAUGUAUUUUAACAUUCACUAAGGAAACUGAAACCAUAAGACUAGAUUCAACACGUGUCCCUUCAUAUUAGAGCCAUGAUAUUAUAACAAAACAUAAGGACAUUUAGACAGAUAAACAUAUCUUAUCUGGAACAUGAAUAAUCACUUGAAUGUCUUUCUAAUAAUGUCAUAUUUUCCUUUUGUAACUCAGAAAUGGUCGGACAACAUAAAAAAAGAAUGAAAAAAAGAAGGAAAUGUCCACAUUGAUCUACAGUCUGAGAAGUACCCCCACAAUGCACUGCAUGGACCUGAUGCAUCGUGUGUCCUUUUCACUGUGAGCUUGCUGACCAGGUCAGCCUGUAAAGUUGAUUGACUUUAUUUCCUUUCCUUUGGUUUAGAUCUGGAAUCUUCUGAUGUUGACUUGCUCUUGCUGUCCCACAUUAAGCUGAUUGUUACUUGAGCUCAGCAUGCAUUUAUUUCAUCUGCAUAUACAUAGCCAUUGUAAAAAGAACAAAACAUUAACACCGUUGCACUUCUGUUAUUAUUGAGCCGAGGGCUACGGUUGUGUAAAUAGGAGAGUAGAAGUGUUGAUUAUGGAAUUCUAAAAAAGAUGGUUUUAUCUAAAAUGAAGAUUAGAAGGGACCAAGUGGGAGAAAAGGGAUAUGUACAUAGUGUGUAUAUUAUCACUACUGUAAUCCAACAUCUGCCGUGGAGAUCAGGGGGGUGUGUCCGUCACCUUAUGAGAGGUGGAAAAUAUAUGAUUCAGAACAUAUCGCUUGUCUCUGCCUCCAACUGUACUGGACUGUCAUUCGCUGUGGAUCUCAAAGACAGACUGUUAUAAUGUUCACUGCCUACUAAACACACACACACAGGCACACAGACACACACACUCAUCAAAGGGAAAGACAAGAGUGGCCUCAUUUCUAUGUGCAUUCAAGUUUGUCCAGUGAGUAGUGAGUCAGUAAGACCCCAGUUAUUGUAAAACUUCAACUGUGACAAUGUUGACAACGCUAAAUAAACAAAUAUAUGACUUAUGGUA
Long non-coding RNA from Oncorhynchus tshawytscha (Chinook salmon), 3167 nucleotides. Lineage: Eukaryota; Metazoa; Chordata; Actinopteri; Salmoniformes; Salmonidae. The record is from Ensembl.